CCUACGGGAGGCAGCAGUGAGGAAUAUUGGUCAAUGGGCGGGAGCCUUAACCAUCCAAUUCUCUUUAUUGAAGAAGGUACUGAGUAUUGUAAACCUCUUUUGCCAGGGGACAAAGGCGGCCACGGGUGGCCGUAAGAGGGUACCUGGAGAAAAAGCAUCGGCUAACACCGUGCCAGCAGCCGCGGUAAAACGGAGGAUGCGAGCGUUAUCCGGAUUUAUUGGGUUAAAGGGGUGCGCAGGCGGCGUGUCAAGUCAGCGGUAAAAUGUCGGGGCUCAACCCCGGCCGGCCGUUGAAACUGGCGUGCCCGAGUUGGAGAGAAGUAUGCGGAAUUCGUGGUGUAGCGGUGAAAUGCAUAGAUAUCACGAAGAACCCCGAUUGUGAAGGCAGCAUACCGGCUCCACACUGACGCUGAGGCACGAAAGCGUGGGUAUCGAACAGGAUUAGAUACCCCAGUAGUC
Molecule: ribosomal RNA, 459 nt
Filed under: uncultured bacterium
Lineage: Bacteria
Description: partial 16S ribosomal RNA
Rfam family: Bacterial small subunit ribosomal RNA
Source: RNAcentral